RNAcentral lists this transfer RNA (70 nucleotides) under Allobates insperatus. RNAcentral's name for it is "tRNA-Ile". Lineage: Eukaryota; Metazoa; Chordata; Amphibia; Anura; Aromobatidae. The record is from RNAcentral.
AGAAACGUGCCUGAAAGAUAAGGAACUCCUUGAUAGGGAGAACCAUAGGGGCUCAAAUCCCCUCGUUUCU